GACGAACGCUGGCGGCGUGCUUAACACAUGCAAGUCGAACGGAAAGGCCCUGCUUUUGUGGGGUGCUCGAGUGGCGAACGGGUGAGUAACACGUGAGUAACCUGCCCUUGACUUUGGGAUAACUUCAGGAAACUGGGGCUAAUACCGGAUAGGAGCUCCUGCUGCAUGGUGGGGGUUGGAAAGUUUCGGCGGUUGGGGAUGGACUCGCGGCUUAUCAGCUUGUUGGUGGGGUAGUGGCUUACCAAGGCUUUGACGGGUAGCCGGCCUGAGAGGGUGACCGGCAAGAGGGGGGCAGAGAAACGCCCAGGCCCCAGAGGGGAGGAAGGGGGGGGAAUUUUGGCAGAUGGGGAGGAGGCCGAAUGAAGCACCCCCGGGGGCGGAAGGGGGGCUUUCGGGUUGAAAACGUCUUCCGCGUGGGAAGAAGGGGGAGGGAGGUAAAGGGGUAGAAAGCACCGGGAAAGCUCGGCC
This 468-nucleotide ribosomal RNA is filed under the name uncultured bacterium. RNAcentral's name for it is "partial 16S ribosomal RNA". It matches the Rfam family "Bacterial small subunit ribosomal RNA", at positions 28 to 509 of the family's 1533-position model. The record is from RNAcentral.